UCAGCUGCCAGACUGAGGUGAGAUGCAGCGUGAACGUGGAGCUGGUGCAGACAUGAAAUUUCUCUUCAAAGGCGAGUGAGAAGGGGGUGAUAUAGAGAUCGGGAGAUGAAUGAACCCCUGAAGUUUACUUUGGAAAACUUCUGGUUUUUAAACCACAUCCAGAUUAUCAGUGCGGUGCUUUGGAAAGUAUCACAUUUGUUGGAGAUCACUGUUGUCCACUGUCUUGGCCAUUAGGGGACUGAUGUAGGAAGAGUGGAUACAAGUAUUUUCAGCUUGAAAAACAUUUAUGCGGAUGUCAGUGCAGGCUCACCAGUCUGGAAG
Non-coding RNA from Puma concolor (puma), 321 nucleotides. NCBI's taxonomy places the organism in Eukaryota, Metazoa, Chordata, Mammalia, Carnivora, Felidae. The record is from RefSeq and is a predicted model, not a curated record.